GACGAACGCUGGCGGCGUGCCUAAUACAUGCAAGUUGAGCGCUGAAGGUUGGUACUUGUACCAACUGGAUGAGCAGCGAACGGGUGAGUAACGCGUGGGGAAUCUGCCUUUGAGCAGGGGACAACAUUUGGAAACGAAUGCUAAUACCGCAUAAAAACUUUAAACACAAGUUUUAAGUUUGAAAGAUGCAAUUGCAUCACUCAAAGAUGAUCCCGCGUUGUAUUAGCUAGUUGGUGAGGUAAAGGCUCACCAAGGCGAUGAUACAUAGCCGACCUGAGAGGGUGAUCGGCCACAUUGGGACUGAGACACGGCCCAAACUCCUACGGGAGGCAGCAGUAGGGAAUCUUCGGCAAUGGACGAAAGUCUGACCGAGCAACGCCGCGUGAGUGAAGAAGGUUCUCGGAUCGUAAAACUCUGUUGGUAGAGAAGAACGUUGGUGAGAGUGGAAAGCUCACCAAGUGACGGUAACUACCCAGAAAGGGACGGCUAACUACGUG
Molecule: ribosomal RNA, 497 nt
Filed under: uncultured bacterium
Lineage: Bacteria
Description: partial 16S ribosomal RNA
Rfam family: Bacterial small subunit ribosomal RNA
Source: RNAcentral